AUGUCCGCUAACAAAUUGAAAACUGUACCUAUACGCCUUAUUUUUAGUCCAGAUGUUUAGUAUUCGUAUUGUUAUCUUAGAAAGUCUAACUGAUUAAAAUACUACAAUUUAGUAGUGUCAAUCCUGUGAUUAUGACCCGUGUAUAUAGCAUAUUAAUCCUGAAUACACCGUUUGGUGGUGCGCCUGUCAGAUGCGGAACGUA
RNAcentral lists this long non-coding RNA (202 nucleotides) under Mytilus galloprovincialis (Mediterranean mussel). The record is from RNAcentral. Lineage: Eukaryota; Metazoa; Mollusca; Bivalvia; Mytilida; Mytilidae.